AACAACCCGCUUUAGCCUCGGAUUGGCCGCGGCCUGUCACGCGGCCCUCAGACCGAACAGAAUUGGAGGCUGUUCGCCCGCUGACCUCGCGGCGGCGUAGUCGCUGCCUGCGCGCGCGCGCUGGUAACCCCAGGUCACCUCUCCCUCGCGUCCCAACCCGUUGCAGGACGUAAGCCAAGGGGGGGCCCCGCGCAUUCACCGGGUUCCCCGCGCAGCACAGCGACUGCGAGGACGAGAGGGGCCUGAGGCUGCGGUGGCGAGCCCCAAGCCGUGCCCCGUGCGCCCCUGGGCCAGGCACGAUCAGGAUGGGAGGGGCUCGGCCUGCAGGGACUCUGGCCUUGUCGGGGAACGCAUACUGGAAUUCUGGAGUGACCGGCCUGCCACAGGAACAGGACGGAGAGCGUCGCCCUGGAGCAGCAUCAGGGCCCAGAGUGUGACCGUGCAUUAAAGGACAGUCCCCCCUACGGGUGGCUCACUAGCAUCGCCCUGCCGUGGCUGCCUACAGGAAUCCUCCAGCCACUCGGGCCUCCUCGCCCCCCAUAACUGAGGACCCUGGAAGCUGUCCUGCACAUGAGGGCGGUGGGGGACCUGACCGAUGACCACUGAAUGGGGCCUUGAGUGAGUCAGACGUCCGCGUAUUAGCCUGCACACAGCUGCUUUCUAAUGGAAGACACAACGUUCCCCAAAGUUUGGGCAACUGUCUGACCUUCGUCUGCAGCAGGCCGCUUCCUGGGCACAAAGCCCACGCGAGGUCAGGACCACAGACAAACACUGGGACUGACCCAGGCAAACAGGAUGCCCAGCGCCCUGCAGGCGACAUCUGCUUCUGGAGUAGGAGCAUGUCUGUGCGUGUGCAGAAUCUUAUCUGUUGCUAUGGAUUCAAUUCCUCCCGUGCUUGACACAUUUCCCCCUUGUCAGCCACCAUACCCCCUGCUGCCCUCUCUUUGCUCCCAUCCUCGGGGCAGUCAAAUGACUCCCUCCUCCCUGUGAAGUCCUGGGUGCCUAUCUGGGCCAGUGUGCCCACGCCCCACAUCAUGGUGCUAAGGACAGCUGCCCCAGGCCACCUCCCUGGGCUAGGAAGGGAAAGGACAGUCUGCAGGCCUGGAGCCUGACAGACUGUCCUCGAAAUUCACACACCAGAGCCUCAACCCCCAGGACCUCAGAAGGUGACUGUAUUUGGAGAUGGGGUCUUUACAGAGGUGGUUACGGUAACGUGAGGUGACUAGGGUGGGCCCUGAUCCCAUAAGAGCGGUGUCCUUGCAAGAAGAGUUUAGGACACAGACACACAGAGGGACGGCCCUGUGAGGACACAGGGAGGACACAGCCAUCUGUAACACCAAGGAGGGAGGCCUCGGGAAGAACCAGCCUUGCCCACGCCUGGAGCUCAGACUCCCAGCCCCCAGGACCCAGAGAGAAUAAAUGUGUUGUUUCAGCCUCAGGCCU
This is a long non-coding RNA of Ailuropoda melanoleuca (giant panda), 1443 nucleotides long. RefSeq lists it as uncharacterized. The transcript is spliced from 3 exons. The record is from RefSeq and is a predicted model, not a curated record. NCBI's taxonomy places the organism in Eukaryota, Metazoa, Chordata, Mammalia, Carnivora, Ursidae.